RNAcentral lists this transfer RNA (82 nucleotides) under Dreissena polymorpha. It matches the Rfam family "tRNA". Rfam says of the family: Transfer RNA (tRNA) molecules are approximately 80 nucleotides in length. The record is from Rfam by way of RNAcentral. Lineage: Eukaryota; Metazoa; Mollusca; Bivalvia; Myida; Dreissenidae.
GUUGUCGAUGUCGAGUGGUAAAAGCGAUAGACUAGAAAUCUUUUGGGAUCUUCCCGCGCAGGUUCGAAUCCUGCCGACAACG